AGAAGGAAUGGAGGAAGAAUAGGGCCCAAAGGAGAGAGAAGAUGGUGGAGAAAAAGCAGAGAGAAGGAAUGGAAGGCAAUGAGGUGAAGCAGCCGGAGCGUGGUGAGGCUGGAGGCGGAAUUCAUCGAAUCAGAGGAAACGGCCCCAAAAAGGAGAGGCGCGGUUGUGGCAGCGCCAAGAGACAAAAGUGGAGGAGCAAUUAAUAAGUAACAAAAAAAAGGCAAUUUAAGAUAAUAAUGAUGAGAAAAAAAAAGAUGAGGAAAUAAAAACUAUGGACCCUCAGGAUUGAAAGAUUUGAGCCGAGAAAGGGGAAAAAUCUCAGCAUCCAGGAGCUUUUCUGCAGGGAGAUUUGAGGAUAAAAGCCACAGAUUUGGGUAACUGAGACUCUCAGAAGUGUUUUAGCCUUGAACCGUCGGAUUUUGAGGGCAAAAAAGGCAAAAAGCAAAGGGCGCUGGGUGUUGGCAGCAAAGGGAUCUUCGGCACAGAUCAGUGAGAGCACCAAAACUGCGGGAAUUUGCCCCAAAACCGAGGCAGCGUGGACUCCUGAGGCGAAAAGGCAGAGAGAAACACGGCAGCAAAACCAUCUCCCCCAUAAAAAAAAACAAAAAGCUACGUAUAGGAUAAGGGAGGAAAAAAAAAUAGGUAUUUGUGCUGUUUUUCACCCAAAUUGGAGAUGUGGGUGGAUUCGGGGCGAUGGCGUUAGGUUCACCCCGGGGUGGGUCGGCCCCAUUUCAGCCCUAAUUUUGCUUGUUUUCUACCCAUUUGAGAAUGAAAAACAAACGGUGGCAGGAAAUGCCCCCCCAAAAUGGCUGGAAAUGGCCCCAAAAUGGCCGAAAAUGGCCCCAAAAUGGCCAGAAAUAACCCCAAAAUGA
RNAcentral lists this long non-coding RNA (872 nucleotides) under Coturnix japonica (Japanese quail). RNAcentral describes it as "lncRNA (ENSCJPG00005001883.1)". Lineage: Eukaryota; Metazoa; Chordata; Aves; Galliformes; Phasianidae. The record is from RNAcentral.